CCUACGGGAGGCAGCAGUGGGGAAUAUUGCACAAUGGGGGAAACCCUGAUGCAGCGACGCCGCGUGAGUGAAGAAGUAAUUCGUUAUGUAAAGCUCUAUCAGCAGGGCAGAAAAUGACGGUACCUGAGUAAGAAGCCCCGGCUAACUACGUGCCAGCAGCCGCGGUCAUACGUAGGGGGCAGACUUUAUCCGGAUUUACUGGGUGUAAAGGGAGCGUAGACGGCAGUGCAAGUCUGGAGUGAAAGGCGGGGGCUCAACCCCCGGACUGCUCUGGAAACUGUACGGCUGGAGUGCAGGAGAGGUAAGUGGAAGUCCUGGUGUAGAGGUGAAAUGCGUAGAUAUUAGGAGGAACACCAGUGGCGAAGGCGGCUUACUGGACUGUAACUGACGUUGAGGCGCGAAAGCGUGGGGAGCAAACAGGAUUAGAUACCCCUGUAGUC
This 440-nucleotide ribosomal RNA is filed under the name uncultured bacterium. RNAcentral describes it as "partial 16S ribosomal RNA". It matches the Rfam family "Bacterial small subunit ribosomal RNA", at positions 338 to 795 of the family's 1533-position model. The record is from RNAcentral.